UGCGCCAUGAUCAAAAACGCGCACCAGAGCCGCUCGUAUUUUUGGCUGUACCUGUAAAGGGCGGCCCGACAGAUCAUAUUGUCAACAAGCCGCCGUCAGGCGGCUUUGUUGUAUCGGCAGCGUCCUGACGGCAGAUUAUCAAGGACGCGAAGACCAUGACCGAAAUCGAAGACAGCGAAAUUUCACUGAUGCGCCCAUUGGUGGUGACGAUUC
This 213-nucleotide small RNA is filed under the name Rhizobium etli. RNAcentral describes it as "miscellaneous other RNA". The record is from RNAcentral. Lineage: Bacteria; Pseudomonadati; Pseudomonadota; Alphaproteobacteria; Hyphomicrobiales; Rhizobiaceae. RNAcentral also lists the same sequence under 1 other name.